Molecule: ribosomal RNA, 440 nt
Filed under: bacterium enrichment culture clone ALO1_GLFRUDD03FLS6N
Lineage: Bacteria
Description: bacterial SSU rRNA
Rfam family: Bacterial small subunit ribosomal RNA
Source: RNAcentral
GAGUUUGAUCAUGGCUCAGAUUGAACGCUGGCGGCAUGCCUUACGCAUGCAAGUCGAACGGCAGCACGGGAGCUUGCUCCUGGUGGCGAGUGGCGAACGGGUGAGUAAUGCAUCGGAACGUAUCCUGGAGUGGGGGAUAACGUAGCGAAAGUUACGCUAAUACCGCAUAUUCUGUGAGCAGGAAAGCGGGGGACCUUCGGGCCUCGCGCUCUUGGAGCAGCCGAUGUCGGAUUAGCUAGUUGGUGAGGUAAAGGCUCACCAAGGCGACGAUCCGUAGCAGGUCUGAGAGGAUGAUCUGCCACACUGGAACUGAGACACGGUCCAGACUCCUACGGGAGGCAGCAGUGGGGAAUUUUGGACAAUGGGGGCAACCCUGAUCCAGCCAUGCCGCGUGAGUGAAGAAGGCCUUCGGGUUGUAAGUACGUCUUUCGUCGAGGGAA